Molecule: ribosomal RNA, 1452 nt
Filed under: uncultured Bordetella sp.
Lineage: Bacteria; Pseudomonadati; Pseudomonadota; Betaproteobacteria; Burkholderiales; Alcaligenaceae
Description: partial 16S-23S ribosomal RNA intergenic spacer
Rfam family: Bacterial small subunit ribosomal RNA
Source: RNAcentral
UUCGAUCCUGGCUCAGAUUGAACGCUGGCGGGAUACUACACAUGCAAGUCGAACAGCAGCACAGUUUCGGUCUGGUGGCGUGGCGACGGAACAUUAAUAUGGUUGUUACUGAUGGCGGAGAUGCUGCGAAAGCGUAGCUAUGCCGCAUACGCCCUUCGGGGAAAGCGGGGGACCUUCUGUGAAUACACUAUUAGAGCAGCCGAUAUCCGGAUUAGCUAGUUGGUGGGGUAACGGCUCACCAGGCGACGAUCCAUCCAGCUGGUUUUGAGAGGACGACCAGCCACCUGGGACUGAGACACGGCCCAGACUCCUACGGGAGGCAGCAGUGGGGAAUUUUGGACAAUGGGGGAAACCUGAUCAGCCAUCCCGCGUGUGCGAUGAAGGCCUUCGGGUUGUAAAGCACUUUUGGCAGGAAAAGAAACAGCACGGGAUAACACACCCGUGCAACUGACGUACCUGCAGAAUAAGCACCGGCUAACUACGUGCCAGCAGCUUGCGGUAAUACGUAGGUGCAAGCAUUAAUCAGGUUACUGGGCGUAAGCGUGCGCAGGCGGUUCGGAAAGAAAGAUGUGAAAUCCGAGCUUAACUUUGGAACUGCAUUUUAACUACCGAGCUAGAGUGUGUCAGAGGGAGGUGGAAUUCCGCGUGUAGCAGUGAAAUGCAGCAAUGCGGAGGAACACCAAAUGGCGAAAACGGCAUCACGGAUAACACUGACGCUCAUGCAACUUGUCAAGAGGAGGCUCAAACAGAGUUAGAUACCCUGGUAGUCCACGCCUAAACGAUGUCAACUAACUGUUGGGGCCUUCGGGCCUUGGUAGCGCAACUAACGCGUGAAGUUGACCGCCUGGGGCUGGUCGCAAGAUUGAAACUCAAAGGAAUUGACGGGGACCCGCACAAGCGGUGGAUGAUGUGGAUUAAUUCGAUGCAACGCGAAAAACCUUACCUACCCUUGACAUGUCUGGAAUCCGAAGAUUUAGGAGUGCUCGCAAGAGAACCGGAACACAGGUGCUGCAUGGCUGUCGUCAGCUCGUGUCGUGAGGAUGUUGGGUUAAGUCCCGCAACGAGCGCAACCCUUGUCGUUAGUUGCUACGAAGAGGGCACCUCUAUGCAAGAUGCCGGUGACAAACCGGAGGAAGAUGAGAUGACGUCAGAGUCCUCAUGGCCCCACUAUGGUGAGGCUUCACACGUCAUACAAUGGUCGGGACAGAGGUCGCCAACCCGCGAGGGGUAAUCCCAGAAACCCGAUCGUAGUCGGAUCUGCAGUGCAACUCGACUGCGUGAAGUCGGAAUCGCUAAAUAAUCGCGGAUCAGCAUGUCGCGGUGAAUACGUUCCCGGGUCUUGUACACCGCCCGUCACACCAUGGAGUGGUUUACCAGAAGUAGUUAGCUAACAUCAGGAGGGCGAUUACCACGGUAGGAUUCAUGACUGGGGUGAAGUCGUAACUCAGGUAG